This 440-nucleotide long non-coding RNA is filed under the name Homo sapiens (human). RNAcentral's name for it is "HSALNT0132708". The record is from RNAcentral. Lineage: Eukaryota; Metazoa; Chordata; Mammalia; Primates; Hominidae.
GGCCUACCUCAUGCUGUCUCCUUACAAACACCAAUUCAGUGUAGGACAAGGAGACACUGGAUUAGGAGCAAGGCACCUCAAACAGACACUUCCUUCUCUCUCUGGGCACCGUCAAAACCUCCAGAUAACCUGGCAACUGCAAAUGAAUUUCAAGCAUUUGACAAAGUGGGGUUGAACAUCACUUCACUCUGGUUUGCCGCGGAAGCCUUAAUAUUAAGGUAUUAUAAACUUUGGGGGCCUCUUCCAGUUUUUCCUACACGCAGACGAAAAAAUGUCACAGCUCUAGGGAUGCUUAAGUCUCACCCAGUGACCUGCAAGUUCUUCAACAGACGGGAAAUUGAGAACCAGGAUUAUAGCACUCAGACCCCUAUGGACUGAAAAAGUGGCUAGUUUGACUUCCUUCUGAAUUCUUUUCACACAAUAGUAAAUGACAAAUAAAA